Molecule: non-coding RNA, 81 nt
Organism: Desmophyllum pertusum
Lineage: Eukaryota; Metazoa; Cnidaria; Anthozoa; Scleractinia; Caryophylliidae
Source: the annotation of a GenBank genome assembly
GACGCGUUGGCCUAAUGGUUAGUGCUUUGGACUCCGGAUCGAGAGUUCCGGGUCCAAGCCCUGGCCUGGGUGACUGUGUUG